AUUGAACGCUGGCGGAAUGCUUUACACAUGCAAGUCGAACGGCAGCACGAGGGCAACCUUGGUGGCGAGUGGCGAACGGGUGAGUAAUACAUCGGAACGUGCCCAGUCGUGGGGGAUAACGUAGCGAAAGCUACGCUAAUACCGCAUACGAUCUAUGGAUGAAAGCGGGGGACCGUAAGGCCUCGCGCGAUUGGAGCGGCCGAUGGCAGAUUAGGUAGUUGGUGGGGUAAAGGCUCACCAAGCCUGCGAUCUGUAGCUGGUCUGAGAGGACGACCAGCCACACUGGAACUGAGACACGGUCCAGACUCCUACGGGAGGCAGCAGUGGGGAAUUUUGGACAAUGGGCGCAAGCCUGAUCCAGCCAUUCCGCGUGCAGGAUGAAGGCCUUCGGUUGUAACUAGCUUUGUUACGGUAACGAAAGGUUUACCGUUAA
RNAcentral lists this ribosomal RNA (433 nucleotides) under uncultured bacterium. Its description in RNAcentral is "bacterial SSU rRNA". It matches the Rfam family "Bacterial small subunit ribosomal RNA", at positions 30 to 464 of the family's 1533-position model. The record is from RNAcentral.